GGAGCAAGCUGGUCUAUCGCUCCGUUUGGAGAGGAAAGUCCGGGCAACACAGAGCGUCUCGCUUCCUAACGGGAAGAGGGCAGUCCUGAUAGCAUUCUGAGCUUGGCGAAGAGUGAAAUCGGGCCGCUGUCAAUGGAAAGUGCCACAGAAAAGAAACUGCCUCGCCCCUGGCGCGGUAACGGUGAAAACGUGAGGUAAGAGCUCACGGCUCUGCAUGGCGACAUGCACCGACGGUAAACCCCGGGAGUUGAAAGGCCAAAUAGGUCAUGGAGCUGCUCGCUCACUAACAUGAUGGGUAGGCCGUUAGAUCGUGUCAGCAAUGGCACGGCCAGAUAAAUGAUAGGCAUCCCGCGUACGCGGGAGAACAGAACCCGGCUUACAGGCUUGUUUUUUUG
RNAcentral lists this RNase P RNA (395 nucleotides) under Hufsiella ginkgonis. RNAcentral's name for it is "Bacterial RNase P class A". It matches the Rfam family "Bacterial RNase P class A". From Rfam's summary of the family: Ribonuclease P (RNase P) is a ubiquitous endoribonuclease, found in archaea, bacteria and eukarya as well as chloroplasts and mitochondria. The record is from Rfam by way of RNAcentral. Lineage: Bacteria; Pseudomonadati; Bacteroidota; Sphingobacteriia; Sphingobacteriales; Sphingobacteriaceae.